This 446-nucleotide ribosomal RNA is filed under the name uncultured bacterium. RNAcentral's name for it is "bacterial SSU rRNA". It matches the Rfam family "Bacterial small subunit ribosomal RNA", at positions 329 to 792 of the family's 1533-position model. The record is from RNAcentral.
GUCCAGACUCCUACGGGAGGCAGCAGUGGGGAAUAUUGCACAAUGGGGGAAACCCUGAUGCAGCGACGCCGCGUGAGCGAUGAAGUAUUUCGGUAUGUAAAGCUCUAUCAGCAGGGAAGAAGAUGACGGUACCUGACUAAGAAGCCCCGGCUAACUACGUGCCAGCAGCCGCGGUAAUACGUAGGGGGCAAGCGUUAUCCGGAUUUACUGGGUGUAAAGGGAGCGUAGACGGCGAUGCAAGCCAGAUGUGAAAGCCCGGGGCUCAACCCCGGGACUGCAUUUGGAACUGUGUGGCUGGAGUGUCGGAGAGGCAGGCGGAAUUCCUAGUGUAGCGGUGAAAUGCGUAGAUAUUAGGAGGAACACCAGUGGCGAAGGCGGCCUGCUGGACUGUAACUGACGUUGAGGCUCGAAAGCGUGGGGAGCAAACAGGAUUAGAUACCCGCGUA